UCCCUCGUGGCGCAAUUGGAUAGCGCGUCAGACUGUUACGUUACCAUCAUCUACAUCAUCUAGAAAUGGAGCAGAGCGGCAUCUGGAGGCUGUAAGUUCGAUCCUUACCGAGGGAG
Non-coding RNA from Podospora aff. communis PSN243, 116 nucleotides. NCBI's taxonomy places the organism in Eukaryota, Fungi, Ascomycota, Sordariomycetes, Sordariales, Podosporaceae. The record is from the annotation of a GenBank genome assembly.